RNAcentral lists this ribosomal RNA (254 nucleotides) under uncultured bacterium. Its description in RNAcentral is "partial 16S ribosomal RNA". It matches the Rfam family "Bacterial small subunit ribosomal RNA", at positions 524 to 776 of the family's 1533-position model. The record is from RNAcentral.
UACGGAGGGGGCAAGCGUUGUUCGGAAUUACUGGGCGUAAAGGGCGCGCAGGCGGCUGCUCAAGUCAGGCGUGAAAGGCCUGGGCUCAACCCGGGAAUUGCGCUUGAGACUGGGCUGGCUUGAGUGCGGGAGAGGAUGGUGGAAUUCCCAGUGUAGAGGUGAAAUUCGUAGAUAUCAGGAGGAACGCCGGCGGCGAAAGCGGCUCUCUGGCCCGGUACUGACGCUGAGGUGCGAAAGCGUGGGGAGCAAACAGG